RNAcentral lists this long non-coding RNA (623 nucleotides) under Penaeus monodon (black tiger shrimp). RNAcentral's name for it is "uncharacterized LOC119597655, transcript variant X3". The record is from RNAcentral. Lineage: Eukaryota; Metazoa; Arthropoda; Malacostraca; Decapoda; Penaeidae.
CAGAAAAAAAAAAAUACAUACAUACAAACGAUGAACAAACAAACAAAAAAUAAAUCAAUAAAAAAGAAAGAAAAAUAUCAAAUAAUCAAAUAAGAUAAAGAUAAUCAAAUAAGAUAAAAAUCCAAACAGGCAACCAGAGAUAUAUGGUUGGAACAGGGAAGGGGCGACGCCAGAGGGAAGCUAGCUGGCCAGUGUCCUGAAUCUGAAGUGUGACACUACAGUCAUCGGACACAGCUGGCAGAGGGUGCAUGGUAACUACUGCAUGGCGUCGACUGCAUGGCGAAGCUGUUGCAACUUCUUGGCAUCAUCUUGGGAGACAGAUGGACCGAGCCCAUGAGAGGAACGCGCACCAGUGUAGCGUGAUGACCGUUUUUGAGCAAAUUCUCGUUUAAAUGUAUGCAGACUGGAGUUAUGGUGAGGCAAUGGUCGUCAAAACAAACCAGAAAGGUAAGAGAUGACAACUUUUUCAAGAUGGCGACACAAAGACGAUGACGACGGACGUAUCUUUUUUUUUUAUCCCUAGAAGGAGAAAAAAAAAAUGAAUCAUAAUCCUGCUGCUGAGAUAAAUUGUUAAUCUUUGUUGUUGUCUUUUUUGUAUUGAUAUUAAAAGAAGAAACAAAUUU